This 253-nucleotide ribosomal RNA is filed under the name uncultured bacterium. RNAcentral's name for it is "partial 16S ribosomal RNA". It matches the Rfam family "Bacterial small subunit ribosomal RNA", at positions 524 to 776 of the family's 1533-position model. The record is from RNAcentral.
UACAGAGGGUGCAAGCGUUGUUCGGAAUUACUGGGCGUAAAGCGUGCGUAGUCGGUAUUGAGAGUCGCGGGUGAAAUCCCAGGGCUUAACCCUGGAACUGCCUGCGAGACCUCAGUACUAGAGUGUGAGAGGGGAUAGUGGAAUACCCAGUGUAGCGGUGAAAUGCGUAGAGAUUGGGUGGAACACCGGUGGCGAAGGCGGCUAUCUGGCUCACAACUGACGCUGAUGCACGAAAGCUAGGGGAGCAAACAGG